RNAcentral lists this ribosomal RNA (258 nucleotides) under uncultured prokaryote. RNAcentral describes it as "partial 16S ribosomal RNA". It matches the Rfam family "Bacterial small subunit ribosomal RNA", at positions 524 to 782 of the family's 1533-position model. The record is from RNAcentral.
UACGUAGGGGGCGAGCGUUGUCCGGAAUGAUUGGGCGUAAAGGGCGCGCAGGCUGUAGAUCAAGUCAGCUGUGAAAUGUCUGGGCUUAACCCGGGCAUGCGGUUGAAACUGAUGUACUGGAGUGCUGUAGAGGCAAGUGGAAUUCCCAGUGUAGCGGUGAAAUGCGUAGAUAUUGGGAAGAACACCGGUGGCGAAGGCGACUUGCUGGGCAGCAACUGACGCUGAGGCGCGAAAGCCAGGGGAGCAAACGGGAUUAGA